CGGCACGGGUGAGUAACGCGUGGGUAUCUGCCCUGGAGUGGGGGACAACUGCUGGAAACGGCAGCUAAUACCGCAUACGCCCUUAGGGGGAAAGCUAUAUGCGCUCCAGGAUGAGCCCGCGUCGGAUUAGCUUGUUGGUGAGGUAACGGCUCACCAAGGCGACGAUCCGUAGCUGGUCUGAGAGGAUGAUCAGCCACACUGGGACUGAGACACGGCCCAG
Molecule: ribosomal RNA, 220 nt
Filed under: uncultured bacterium
Lineage: Bacteria
Description: partial 16S ribosomal RNA
Rfam family: Bacterial small subunit ribosomal RNA
Source: RNAcentral